AUGGAUGCCACCACGGCGAAGCAGCUCAGGCGGCUCCGCACGCUCGGCCGCGGCGCGUCCGGCGCUGUCGUCUGGCUCGCCUCUGACGACGCCUCCGGCCAGCUGCUCGCGGUCAAGUCUGCCGGCGCCGGCGCGGCCGACACGCUGCGGCGCGAGGGUAGUGUCAUGGCGGGGCUCUGCUCCCCGCACAUCGUCCCGUGCCUCGGCUCCCGCGCCGCGCCCGGCGGCGAGUACCAGCUCUUCCUCGAGUUCGCGCCGCGCGGCUCGCUCGCCGACGAGGCCGCCAGGAGCGGCGGCAGCCUCGCGGAGCGCGCCAUCCAGGGGUACGCGGCGGACGUGGCCAGGGGGCUGGCCUACCUCCACGGGAACUCGCUGGUGCACGGGGACGUCAAGGCGAGGAACGUCAUGGUCGGCGCCGACGGCCGAGCCAAGCUCGCGGACUUCGGGUGCGCGAGGGCCGCGGAUUCCGACCGGACGAUCGGCGGCACUCCGGCCUUCAUGGCGCCGGAGGUGGCGCGCGGGGAGGAGCAGGGCCUGGCGGCCGACGUGUGGGCGCUCGGCUGCACCGUCAUCGAGAUGGCCACCGGCCGCGCCCCCUGGAGCGGCAUGGACGACGUCUUCGCGGCGGUCCACCGGAUCGGAUACACGGACGACGUGCCUGAGCUGCCCGCGUCGCUGUCGCCGCAGGCCAAGGACUUCCUGCGCAAGUGCUUCGCAAGAAACCCCCGCCACCGGUCCACCGCCGCGCAGCUCCUAGAGCACCCGUUCCUCGCGUCCGCCUUCCACGACGUCGACGCGGAGCCGGCGAAGCAGGAUUGGAUCAUGUCCCCCGAGAGCACACUCAACGCGGAAUUCUGGGAGUCGGACGAGGAAAGCGAAACAGAGGACAUGCUGACGAGCGCGGCCGAGAGGAUCGGCUCGCUGGCGAGCCCUUGCUCGGCCUUGCCAGACUGGGAGUCCGACGAUGGCUGGAUCGUCGUGCACGGCGGACGCCCUGAAGCUUCAGAAACAACGACGCCCACGGCGAUCGCCGGCACAGACUUCGGUCCUUGGAGUGAAGAAGGAUUGGAAGCCGAGGUUGAUGUCCAUUUCGCUGGUGCUGAUGCCGGCAGGUGGUACGACCUUGUGCGGAAUGUGGAUGGAGCGCAUUAUUUCGGUUGGUACGAGAGAGAUUUGGGUGUCAGUGUCGUUACUGAUAGACCGUUGUGCCUCAUUGUUAGUCACGGACGCAAAAUUGUAAAAUUCGGUUGUCAUUGCGACAGAGAAAGAACAAUGCAUUUUGAUUUUGCACAAAUAUUUCGUUCUCUUGAGCUUCCGUCGCAUGCUGUGUGCAUUUUAUCUUCCACUGAAUGGGGGUAUUGUCGUUUUUUGGCCUUUUCUUUUUAUAACUAG
This 1392-nucleotide ribosomal RNA is filed under the name Triticum aestivum (bread wheat). Its description in RNAcentral is "partial small subunit ribosomal RNA". Lineage: Eukaryota; Viridiplantae; Streptophyta; Magnoliopsida; Poales; Poaceae. The record is from RNAcentral.